UUGGAGAUUUUUAUCCUGGCUCAGGACGAACGCUGGCGGCGUGCUUAACACAUGCAAGUCGAACGAUGAAGCCCUUCGGGGUGGAUUAGUGGCGAACGGGUGAGUAACACGUGGGCAAUCUGCCCUUCACUCUGGGACAAGCCCUGGAAACGGGGUCUAAUACCGGAUAAUACUCCUGCCUGCAUGGGCGGGAGUUGAAAGCUCCGGCGGUGAAGGAUGAGCCCGCGGCCUAUCAGCUUGUUGGUGGGGUAAUGGCCCACCAAGGCGACGACGGGUAGCCGGCCUGAGAGGGCGACCGGCCACACUGGGACUGAGACACGGCCCAGACUCCUACGGGAGGCAGCAGUGGGGAAUAUUGCACAAUGGGCGAAAGCCUGAUGCAGCGACGCCGCGUGAGGGAUGACGGCCUUCGGGUUGUAAACCUCUUUCAGCAGGGAAGAAGCGGAAAGUGACGG
RNAcentral lists this ribosomal RNA (455 nucleotides) under Streptomyces cirratus. Its description in RNAcentral is "bacterial SSU rRNA". It matches the Rfam family "Bacterial small subunit ribosomal RNA", at positions 1 to 475 of the family's 1533-position model. The record is from RNAcentral. Lineage: Bacteria; Bacillati; Actinomycetota; Actinomycetes; Kitasatosporales; Streptomycetaceae.